Molecule: ribosomal RNA, 201 nt
Filed under: uncultured bacterium
Lineage: Bacteria
Description: partial 16S ribosomal RNA
Rfam family: Bacterial small subunit ribosomal RNA
Source: RNAcentral
GUACUCUGCAACCCGAGUACAUGAAGCUGGAAUCGCUAGUAAUCGCGAAUCAGAAUGUCGCGGUGAAUACGUUCCCGGGUCUUGUACACACCGCCCGUCACACCAUGGGAGAUGGAUAUGCCCAAAGUCAGCGACCUAACCGCAAGGGAGGAGCUGCCUAAGGUGGAGCCAUUAACUGGGGUGAAGUCGUAACAAGGUAUC